Molecule: ribosomal RNA, 253 nt
Filed under: uncultured bacterium
Lineage: Bacteria
Description: partial 16S ribosomal RNA
Rfam family: Bacterial small subunit ribosomal RNA
Source: RNAcentral
UACGUAGGGUGCGAGCGUUAAUCGGAAUUACUGGGCGUAAAGCGUGCGCAGGCGGUUUUGCAAGCCGGAUGUGAAAUCCCCGGGCUCAACCUGGGAAUGGCAUUCGGGACUGCAGGGCUGGAGUGCGGCAGAGGAGACUGGAAUUCCUGGUGUAGCAGUGAAAUGCGUAGAUAUCAGGAGGAAUACCGAUGGCGAAGGCAGGUCUCUGGGCUGACACUGACGCUCAUGCACGAAAGCGUGGGGAGCAAACAGG